GCGAGGAUAGCUCAGGUGGUAGAGUACGACCUUGCCAAGGUCGGGGUCGCGGGUUCGAAUCCCGUUUCUCGCU
Molecule: transfer RNA, 73 nt
Filed under: Blattabacterium sp. (Periplaneta americana) str. BPLAN
Lineage: Bacteria; Pseudomonadati; Bacteroidota; Flavobacteriia; Flavobacteriales; Blattabacteriaceae
Description: tRNA-Gly (GCC) (tRNA-Gly-GCC-1-1)
Rfam family: tRNA
About the family: Transfer RNA (tRNA) molecules are approximately 80 nucleotides in length. Their secondary structure includes four short double-helical elements and three loops (D, anti-codon, and T loops). Further hydrogen bonds mediate the characteristic L-shaped molecular structure. tRNAs have two regions of fundamental functional importance: the anti-codon, which is responsible for specific mRNA codon recognition, and the 3' end, to which the tRNAs corresponding amino acid is attached (by aminoacyl-tRNA synthetases). tRNAs cope with the degeneracy of the genetic code in two manners: having more than one tRNA (with a specific anti-codon) for a particular amino acid; and 'wobble' base-pairing, i.e. permitting non-standard base-pairing at the 3rd anti-codon position.
Source: Rfam by way of RNAcentral